UUGCUCAUUUUGGCAGAACAUAGGCUAAAAUUGGAAUGAUAGAGAAGAUUAGCAUGGCCCCUACACAAGGAUGACAUGCAAAUUCGUGAAGCAUUCUGUAUUUUU
Small nuclear RNA from Loxodonta africana (African savanna elephant), 105 nucleotides. The record is from Ensembl. NCBI's taxonomy places the organism in Eukaryota, Metazoa, Chordata, Mammalia, Proboscidea, Elephantidae.